Molecule: ribosomal RNA, 1436 nt
Filed under: Pasteurella multocida 671/90
Lineage: Bacteria; Pseudomonadati; Pseudomonadota; Gammaproteobacteria; Pasteurellales; Pasteurellaceae
Description: bacterial LSU rRNA
Rfam family: Bacterial large subunit ribosomal RNA
Source: RNAcentral
GUAUGGUUAAGUGACUAAGCGUACAGGGCGGAUGCCUUGGCAAUCAGAGGCGAUGAAGGACGUGCUAAUCUGCGACAAGCUUGGAUGAGUCGAUAAGAGGCGUUUAAUCCAAGAUAUCCGAAUGGGGAAACCCAGUAGAUGAAGAAUCUACUAUCAAUAAAUGAAUACAUAGUUUAUUGAGGCGAACCGGGAGAACUGAAACAUCUAAGUACCCCGAGGAAAAGAAAUCAACCGAGAUUCUGUGAGUAGCGGCGAGCGAAAGCGGGAGAGCCAGUAAGUUUUAGCUAGCGUAUUAGAGGAAUUGGCUGGGAAGCCAAAUCAAAGAGGGUGAUAAUCCCGUACUCGAAAGUAUGUUAGUGGAACUAAGCUUACGAUAAGUAAGGCGGGACACGAGAAAUCCUGUUUGAAGAUGGGGGGACCAUCCUCCAAGGCUAAAUACUCCUGAUUGACCGAUAGUGAACCAGUACUGUGAAGGAAAGGCGAAAAGAACCCCGGUGAGGGGAGUGAAAUAGAACCUGAAACCCUGUACGUACAAGCAGUAGGAGCGAGGGCAACCUUGUGACUGCGUACCUUUUGUAUAAUGGGUCAGCGACUUAUAUUUUGUAGCGAGGUUAACUGAAUAAGGGAGCCGAAGGGAAACCGAGUCUUAACUGGGCGUUGAGUUGCAAGGUAUAGACCCGAAACCCGGUGAUCUAGCCAUGGGCAGGUUGAAGGUUGGGUAACACUAACUGGAGGACCGAACCGACUAAUGUUGAAAAAUUAGCGGAUGACUUGUGGCUGGGGGUGAAAGGCCAAUCAAACCGGGAGAUAGCUGGUUCUCCCCGAAAUCUAUUUAGGUAGAGCCUUGAGCGGACACCUUCGGGGGUAGAGCACUGUUUCGGCUAGGGGUCCAUCCCGGAUUACCAACCCGAUGCAAACUGCGAAUACCGAAGAGUGAUACUCAGGAGACACACGGCGGGUGCUAACGUUCGUCGUGGAGAGGGAAACAACCCAGACCGCCAGCUAAGGUCCCGAAGUCUAUAUUAAGUGGGAAACGAAGUGGGAAGGCUUAGACAGCUAGGAUGUUGGCUUAGAAGCAGCCAUCAUUUAAAGAAAGCGUAAUAGCUCACUAGUCGAGUCGGCCUGCGCGGAAGAUGUAACGGGGCUCAAAUAUAGCACCGAAGCUGCGGCAUCAGAAUUUAUUCUGUUGGGUAGGGGAGCGUUGUGUAAGCGGAUGAAGGUGGCUCGAGAGGGUUGCUGGACGUAUCACAAGUGCGAAUGCUGACAUAAGUAACGAUAAAACGAGUGAAAAACUCGUUCGCCGGAAGACCAAGGGUUCCUGUCCAACGUUAAUCGGGGCAGGGUGAGUCGGCCCCUAAGGCGAGGCUGAAAAGCGUAGUCGAUGGGAAAACGGGUUAAUAUUCCCGUACUUGGAUAAAGCUGCGAUGUGGGGACGG